RNAcentral lists this ribosomal RNA (497 nucleotides) under uncultured bacterium. RNAcentral describes it as "partial 16S ribosomal RNA". It matches the Rfam family "Bacterial small subunit ribosomal RNA", at positions 28 to 507 of the family's 1533-position model. The record is from RNAcentral.
GAUGAACGCUGGCGGCGUGCCUAAUACAUGCAAGUCGAGCGAACGGACGAGAAGCUUGCUUCUCUGAUGUUAACGGCGGACGGGUGAGUAAAACGUGGAUAACCUACCUAUAAGACUGGGAUAACUUCGGGAAACCGGUGCUAAUACCGUAUUAUUUUUUGAACCUCGUGGUUCAAAAGUUAAAGACGUUCUUGCUGUCCCUUCUACAUGUCUCCGCGCUGCAUUAGCAGUUUGGUAAGGUAACGGCUUACCAAGGCAACGAUGGAUAGCCGACCUGAGAGGGUGAUCGGCCACACUGGGACUGAGACGCGGUCCAGACUCCUACGGGAGGCAGCAGUAGGGAAUCUUCCGCAAUGGGCGAAAGCCUGACGGAGCAACGCCGCGUGAGUGAUGAAGGUCUUCGGAUCGUAAAACUCUGUUAUUAGUGAAGACCAUAUGUGUAAGUAACUGUGCACAUCGUGACGGUACCUAAUCAGAAAGCAACGGCUAACUACGUG